UUACGGCGACAUCACGUUGAAACACCUGUACCCGUACGAUCACCGAAGUUAAGCAACGUCGAGCCUAGUCAGUAUCAAGAUGGGUGACCACUUGAGAAUACUAGGUACU
Non-coding RNA from Acanthosepion pharaonis, 109 nucleotides. The record is from the annotation of a GenBank genome assembly. Lineage: Eukaryota; Metazoa; Mollusca; Cephalopoda; Sepiida; Sepiidae.